Non-coding RNA from Cricetulus griseus (Chinese hamster), 1341 nucleotides. The record is from RefSeq and is a predicted model, not a curated record. Lineage: Eukaryota; Metazoa; Chordata; Mammalia; Rodentia; Cricetidae.
GAGUGUGACAAGGAAGAGAGACUGGGCUCAAGGAGAGGACACCCUUAGUCCUGAGGGUUCACAGUGGGAUUUUAAACACCAUCAACUGAUCCCUGUUAGACCUUGGGCCAGAGCCUCCAUGUUUCUUUCUUCCCAAUCACUGAAUAUUCCAUAGACAGGGGCAUGAGAGGACCCAUGCCCUGUGAAACAGAAAGCUUGGAGAUUCUAGGGCGAGGGCCUAGGCAAUUUCUUCACCGACUCAAAUCUGUUCUUGCCAUGCCAGGCCCUUCUAGAACCUUGGUUCUGGGGGCUGGUGGAGGCCUGGGAACUGUUCCACAUAUGGGCACAGAGGCAGGCAGCCCUGGAGGAAGAGGCCCACUGCCCAGGGCUGUGUACAGAUUCUCCACUGUCAGGAGAGAAGAGAGGAGGCGCUGGAGGAACAAACUCAUGUACUUCUAGAGCAACAGGAACGCUGUGCAGGCCUCACAGACACGGGGCAGGGGUGACCACAGAAGGCUAAUGACUCAAACAACAGCACAAUAGCAUUGGCAAAUCAUGGAGACAUUCUGAGGAUGGAGUUGCUCCAAAGGUCCAAGCCACAGCAUGAGACUCUUACAGGGAUCAGAAACAGACCAUCGGUCAAGACUCCUUGGCCGAGCAUGGAAACCUGGGUUUGGAAGUGGCUGGGGACACCAGGGUCCGCUUGUUUGAGGGGAAAGACAGGCAAACAAAUGGAAAAAGAGUCUUGACAACUUCUGUCUAUGAAUAAGUGACCUUGGGCGAGUCCCCAUACAACUGUAAGCCCCAGACAUCCCUAGAGCAGCAGGGGGACCCUGUCCUCCACAUUAUAGAGAGGCUGGCUCCAUGUCCUAUCUACACCUGGCCCUAACAUUCGUUCCUCACAUCACAAAACCAGGCUUUAUGGACAUUCUAGGGCAAGCUUUCUCUGCCUAGUCACAAAUCAAAUGUCCAUAGCAGAGCAAGAGCCCUGGGGGAUCCUGGGAAUUGAAGUUAGUGUUUCAGAAUGAAGAGAGAACCCCUUUGGAUGUAUGCAUGCUUGGGAACUUCUGAGGGACAUUGGCAGGUGGCAGCUCACCUUGGUACAGGGGGGCAUGGUGAUAUUUAAGUGACAGAGGAUGUGCUGUGUGUCUUCAUACUUCAUCGCCUUCCGCAGGAAUGACAAGAACCCUCCUGGCUCGCGACUGCUGUCUCUCACCUAGAUUCAAUUACACACAGGGAACUUUAGCAGGACCCUUCAUGCUUCUAGGCUGGUGUUCUCAGGGGCUCCUGCCUCCCAAACUCCUGGACCAAGUAAAGAGGGUGGCCAUAGGAGGCCAGCACCUUCACAGGGAUGGCCAAACG